AGAUCAUUUUGGGGACAAUUUCUUAGUAACCCUUUAUAUCUCUCCCAUGCUUCAUACAAUGAUUCCCUUGCUUGUUGCUCGAAAUUAGCUAUGACCUUCUUAAGUUU
Lactuca sativa (garden lettuce) is the source of this 107-nucleotide small nucleolar RNA. The record is from RefSeq and is a predicted model, not a curated record. Lineage: Eukaryota; Viridiplantae; Streptophyta; Magnoliopsida; Asterales; Asteraceae.